UAAUACAGAGGUCUCAAGCGUUGUUCGGAUUCAUUGGGCGUAAAGGGUGCGUAGGUGGCGGGGUAAGUCAGGUGUGAAAUCUCGGGGCUCAACCCCGAAACUGCACUUGAUACUGCCUUGCUCGAGUACUGGAGAGGAGAUUGGAAUUUACGGUGUAGCAGUGAAAUGCGUAGAUAUCGUAAGGAAGACCAGUGGCGAAGGCGAAUCUCUGGACAGUUACUGACACUGAGGCACGAAGGCCAGGGGAGCAAACGGGAUUAGAUACCCCGGUAGUCCUGGCAGUAAACGGUGCGCGUUUGGUGUGGGAGGAUUCGACCCCUUCUGUGCCGGAGCUAACGCGUUAAACGCGCCGCCUGGGGAGUACGGUCGCAAGAUUA
This 377-nucleotide ribosomal RNA is filed under the name uncultured bacterium. RNAcentral describes it as "bacterial SSU rRNA". It matches the Rfam family "Bacterial small subunit ribosomal RNA", at positions 521 to 896 of the family's 1533-position model. The record is from RNAcentral.